AAUGAACGCUGGCGGCGUGGAUUAGGCAUGCAAGUCGAACGAGAAAAUACCUUCGGGUAUGGGUACAGUGGCGAAAGGGUUAGUAAUACAUGAACAACCUGCCUUUAAGACGGGGAUAACUCGGAGAAAUUCGGGCUAAUACCCGAUGAUAUCAUGUAUCUCCGGAUACAUGAUCAAAUGGUGGUUUUAUAAUUUCUGCUUAGAGAGGGGUUCAUGGCCUACUAGUUUGUUGGUGAGGUAACGGCUCACCAAGACAAUGAUGGGUAGCCGGGCUGAGAGGCCGAUCGGCAACACUGGGACUGAGACACUGCCCAG
RNAcentral lists this ribosomal RNA (315 nucleotides) under uncultured bacterium. RNAcentral's name for it is "bacterial SSU rRNA". It matches the Rfam family "Bacterial small subunit ribosomal RNA", at positions 29 to 334 of the family's 1533-position model. The record is from RNAcentral.